Molecule: unclassified non-coding RNA, 218 nt
Filed under: Ambisporaceae sp.
Lineage: Eukaryota; Fungi; Glomeromycota; Glomeromycetes; Archaeosporales; Ambisporaceae
Description: partial contains 5.8S ribosomal RNA and internal transcribed spacer 2
Rfam family: 5.8S ribosomal RNA (bases 1-71)
Source: RNAcentral
GUGAAUCAUCAAAUCUUUGAACGCAUAUUGCACUCCCUGGUAUUCCGUAGAGCAUGCCUGUUCGAGGGUAAUUAAAAAGAAUCUUUAACCAAUUUUUUUUGGUCACAGGAAAUGAGCUCUCCGCGUUAAUAGCGGUAGCUUGAAAUAAACGGUCAAGUCUCAUUUUAGUCGAGACGCGUAAUAAUAUUAUUUCGCCAAAUCUCCAUUAUGUGACUAUC